Molecule: ribosomal RNA, 476 nt
Filed under: uncultured bacterium
Lineage: Bacteria
Description: partial 16S ribosomal RNA
Rfam family: Bacterial small subunit ribosomal RNA
Source: RNAcentral
GGAUGAACGCUGGCGGCGUGCUUAACACAUGCAAGUCGAACGAUGAACCUCACUUGUGGGGGGAUUAGUGGCGAACGGGUGAGUAACACGUGAGUAACCUGCCCUUGACUCUGGGAUAAGCCUGGGAAACCGGGUCUAAUACUGGAUACGACCUUCUGGCGCAUGCCAUGUUGGUGGAAAGCUUUUGUGGUUUUGGAUGGACUCGCGGCCUAUCAGCUUGUUGGUGGGGUAAUGGCCUACCAAGGCGACGACGGGUAGCCGGCCUGAGAGGGUGACCGGCCACACUGGGACUGAGACACGGCCCAGACUCCUACGGGAGGCAGCAGUGGGGAAUAUUGCACAAUGGGCGCAAGCCUGAUGCAGCGACGCCGCGUGAGGGAUGAAGGCCUUCGGGUUGUAAACCUCUUUCAGUAGGGAAGAAGCCGGCUUUUGGGUUGGUGACGGUACCUGCAGAAGAAGCGCCGGCUAACUACGUG